CAGUAAAUAGUUUAAGUAAAAUAUUAAUUUUGGAGAUUAAAGUUAAGAUUCUUCUUUUUGCUGA
Molecule: transfer RNA, 64 nt
Filed under: Opistholeptus burmanus
Lineage: Eukaryota; Metazoa; Arthropoda; Insecta; Hemiptera; Pachygronthidae
Description: tRNA-Pro
Source: RNAcentral